CGGCGGACGGGUGAGUAACACGUGGGUAAUCUGCCUUAUACAGGGGGAUAACAGUUAGAAAUGGCUGCUAAUACCGCAUAAGCGCACGGAAACGCAUGUUUCAGUGUGAAAAACUCCGGCAGUAUAAGAUGAGCCCGCGUCUGAUUAGCUUGUUGGUGGGGUAACGGCCUACCAAGGCGACGAUCAGUAGCCGGCCUGAGAGGGUGAACGGCCACAUUGGGACUGAGACACGGCCCAAACUCCUACGGAAGGCAGCAG
RNAcentral lists this ribosomal RNA (258 nucleotides) under uncultured bacterium. Its description in RNAcentral is "partial 16S ribosomal RNA". It matches the Rfam family "Bacterial small subunit ribosomal RNA", at positions 96 to 354 of the family's 1533-position model. The record is from RNAcentral.